Molecule: transfer RNA, 73 nt
Filed under: Babesia sp. Xinjiang
Lineage: Eukaryota; Apicomplexa; Aconoidasida; Piroplasmida; Babesiidae
Description: tRNA-Gln
Rfam family: tRNA
About the family: Transfer RNA (tRNA) molecules are approximately 80 nucleotides in length. Their secondary structure includes four short double-helical elements and three loops (D, anti-codon, and T loops).
Source: RNAcentral
UAGAGAGUCAUUUAAAGCAUAAGAUAAAGAUUUUUGAUAUCUUAAAUAAAGGUUAAACUCCUUUUUCUCUAAU